UUUAGCCGGAUGAAAGGAAACUUUCACGUCCGAUUUUUAGGGGGGGGGGUGGGAGAUCCUAUCCCAAU
This 68-nucleotide non-coding RNA is filed under the name Helianthus annuus (common sunflower). Lineage: Eukaryota; Viridiplantae; Streptophyta; Magnoliopsida; Asterales; Asteraceae. The record is from RNAcentral.